AUUGAACGCUGGCGGCAGGCCUAACACAUGCAAGUCGAACGGUAACAGGAAGCAGCUUGCUGCUUUGCUGACGAGUGGCGGACGGGUGAGUAAUGUCUGGGAGACUGCCUGAUGGAGGGGGAUAACUACUGGAAACGGUAGCUAAUACCGCAUAACGUCGCAAGACCAAAGAGGGGGACCUUCGGGCCUCUUGCCAUCGGAUGUGCCCAGAUGGGAUUAGCUAGUAGGUGGGGUAACGGCUCACCUAGGCGACGAUCCCUAGCUGGUCUGAGAGGAUGACCAGCCACACUGGAACUGAGACACGGUCCAGACUCCUACGGGAGGCAGCAGUGGGGAAUAUUGCACAAUGGGCGCAAGCCUGAUGCAGCCAUGCCGCGUGUAUGAAGAAGGCCUUCGGGUUGUAAAGUACUUUCAGCGGGGAGGAAGGGAGUAAAGUUAAUACCUUUGCUCAUUGACGUUACCCGCAGAAGAAGCACCGGCUAACUCCGUG
This 490-nucleotide ribosomal RNA is filed under the name uncultured bacterium. RNAcentral describes it as "partial 16S ribosomal RNA". It matches the Rfam family "Bacterial small subunit ribosomal RNA", at positions 30 to 507 of the family's 1533-position model. The record is from RNAcentral.